UGACUUAGAGAAGAUUAGCAUGGUCCCUGCCAAGGAUGAUACGCACAAAUCGAAAAAUGGUCCAAAUUUUU
Molecule: small nuclear RNA, 71 nt
Filed under: Amborella trichopoda
Lineage: Eukaryota; Viridiplantae; Streptophyta; Magnoliopsida; Amborellales; Amborellaceae
Source: RNAcentral